RNAcentral lists this ribosomal RNA (301 nucleotides) under uncultured bacterium. RNAcentral's name for it is "partial 16S ribosomal RNA". It matches the Rfam family "Bacterial small subunit ribosomal RNA", at positions 509 to 807 of the family's 1533-position model. The record is from RNAcentral.
CAGUCGCCGCGGUAAUACGAAGGGGGCUAGCGUUGUUCGGAUUUACUGGGCAUAAAGGGCGCGUAGGCGGAUUUGUAAGUCAGGGGUGAAAUCCCGAGGCUCAACCUCGGAACUGCCUUUGAUACUGUGGAUCUUGAGUCCGGGAGAGGUGAGUGGAACUGCGAGUGUAGAGGUGAAAUUCGUAGAUAUUCGCAAGAACACCAGUGGCGAAGGCGGCUCACUGGCCCGGAACUGACGCUGAGGCGCGAAAGCGUGGGGAGCAAACAGGAUUAGAGACCCCUGUAGUCCCUGUCUCUUAUAC